Molecule: ribosomal RNA, 253 nt
Filed under: uncultured bacterium
Lineage: Bacteria
Description: partial 16S ribosomal RNA
Rfam family: Bacterial small subunit ribosomal RNA
Source: RNAcentral
UACAGAGGUCCCAAGCGUUGUUCGGAUUUACUGGGCGUAAAGGGUGCGUAGGUGGUGAGGUAAGUCUGAUGUGAAAUCUCCGAGCUUAACUCGGAAAUGGCAUUGGAAACUACCUUGCUAGAGGGUUGGAGGGGGGACUGGAAUUCUCGGUGUAGCAGUGAAAUGCGUAGAUAUCGAGAGGAACACCAGUGGCGAAGGCGAGUCCCUGGACACUUCCUGACACUGAGGCACGAAAGCUAGGGGAGCAAACAGG